Molecule: ribosomal RNA, 329 nt
Filed under: uncultured bacterium
Lineage: Bacteria
Description: bacterial SSU rRNA
Rfam family: Bacterial small subunit ribosomal RNA
Source: RNAcentral
UUCGUAGGCGGUGCGGCAAGUCGGGAGUGAAAUCUCUGGGCUCAACCCAGAGGCUGCUUCCGAAACUGCUGUGCUUGAGUGUGAGAGAGGCUCGUGGAAUUGCAGGUGUAGCGGUGAAAUGCGUAGAUAUCUGCAGGAACACCCGUGGCGAAAGCGGCGAGCUGGAUCACUACUGACGCUGAGGAACGAAAGCUAGGGGAGCAAACAGGAUUAGAUACCCUGGUAGUCCUAGCCCUAAACGAUCAGGACUUGGGGUGCCGCCCGUUCGGGCGUCGUCCCGGAGCUAACGCGUUAAGUCCUGCACCUGGGAGUACGGUCGCAAGACUGAA